This 446-nucleotide ribosomal RNA is filed under the name uncultured bacterium. RNAcentral describes it as "partial 16S ribosomal RNA". It matches the Rfam family "Bacterial small subunit ribosomal RNA", at positions 338 to 795 of the family's 1533-position model. The record is from RNAcentral.
CCUACGGGAGGCAGCAGUCGAGAAUCAUUCACAAUGGGGGAAACCCUGAUGGUGCGACGCCGCGUGGGGGAAUGAAGGUCUUCGGAUUGUAAACCCCUGUCAUGUGGGAGCAAAUUAAAAAGAUAGUACCACAAGAGGAAGAGACGGCUAACUCUGGGCCAGCAGCCGCGGUAAUACAGAGGUCUCAAGCGUUGUUCGGAAUCACUGGGCGUAAAGCGUGCGGAGGCUGUUUCGUAAGUCGUGUGUGAAAGGCGCGGGCUCAACCCGCGGACGGCACAUGAUACUGCGAGACUAGAGUAAGGGAGGGGGAACCGGAAUUCUCGGUGUAGCAGUGAAAUGCGUAGAUAUCGAGAGGAACACUCGUGGCGAAGGCGGGUUCCUGGACAUUAACUGACGCUGAGGCACGAAGGCCAGGGGAGCGAAAGGGAUUAGAUACCCCGGUAGUC